AGUGAACGCUGGCGGUAGGCCUAACACAUGCAAGUCGAACGGCAGCACAGUAAGAGCUUGCUCUUACGGGUGGCGAGUGGCAGACGGGUGAGGAAUACAUCGGAAUCUACUUUUUCGUGGGGGAUAACGUAGGGAAACUUACGCUAAUACCGCAUACGACCUACGGGUGAAAGCAGGGGAUCUUCGGACCUUGCGCGAUUGAAUGAGCCGAUGUCGGAUUAGCUAGUUGGCGGGGUAAAGGCCCACCAAGGCGACGAUCCGUAGCUGGUCUGAGAGGAUGAUCAGCCACACUGGAACUGAGACACGGUCCAGACUCCUACGGGAGGCAGCAGUGGGGAAUAUUGGACAAUGGGCGCAAGCCUGAUCCAGCCAUACCGCGUGGGUGAAGAAGGCCUUCGGGUUGUAAAGCCCUUUUGUUGGGAAAGAAAAGCAGCAGGUUAAUACCCCGCUGUUCUGACGGUACCCAAAGAAUAAGCACCGGCUAAUUUCGUG
RNAcentral lists this ribosomal RNA (492 nucleotides) under uncultured bacterium. RNAcentral's name for it is "partial 16S ribosomal RNA". It matches the Rfam family "Bacterial small subunit ribosomal RNA", at positions 29 to 507 of the family's 1533-position model. The record is from RNAcentral.